RNAcentral lists this long non-coding RNA (647 nucleotides) under Rattus norvegicus (Norway rat). Its description in RNAcentral is "long non-coding RNA NONRATT003572". The record is from RNAcentral. Lineage: Eukaryota; Metazoa; Chordata; Mammalia; Rodentia; Muridae.
GUGAGUGUAGAUGAUGCAGAUCGCAGAGUGGCUGGAAGUCAGAAUUUUGUGUUGCUGUUGCUUUUGCUAUGGGUCUUUUUCCCAUUCCGGUGUGUGAACGGAUUGGUACGGGCCCUUGCAUUAGAGCCACGGAAACAGCUCUGAAUUGGAAAAACUCUCCCUGAGUUCUGGGCAGGGGGAGAACCAGAAGUUAUUUUCUUCAGGACCGUGGAAUGUACCCCAGGGAGUCCCAAAAGUCAGACAGAAGAUGCUUCAGACCAGUAACUAUAGCCUGGUGCUCUCCCUGCAGUUUCUGUUGCUGUGCUAUGACCUGUUCGUCAAUUCCUUCUCGGAGCUACUACGAAUGGCUCCUGUUAUCCAGCUCGUGCUGUUCAUGCUGGCCUGGUCAACCUCCUGUUCCAUAAGUUCAAAGGGACCAUCAUUCUGACGUCUGUGUACCUCGCCCUCAGCAUCUCCCUGCAUGUGUGGGUCAUGAACGUGCGAUGGAAAGACUCCAGCAGCUUCAGAUGGACAAACGGCCUGCAGACACUGUUUGUAUUCCAGAGACUAGCCGCAGUGCUGUACUGCUAUUUCUACAAAAGGACAGCCGUGAGAUUGGGUGACCCCCGCUUCUACCAGGACUCACUGUGGCUGCGCAAGGAGUUCAU